GACGAACGCUGGCGGCGUGCCUAAUACAUGCAAGUCGAGCGCAGGAAACUGACGGAACUCUUCGGAGGGAAGGCAGUGGAAUGAGCGGCGGACGGGUGAGUAACACGUAAGGAACCUGCCUCAAGGAUUGGGAUAACUCCGAGAAAUCGGAGCUAAUACCGGAUAGUUCAUCGGACCGCAUGGUCCGUUGAUGAAAGGCGCUUCGGCGUCACCUUGAGAUGGCCUUGCGGUGCAUUAGCUAGUUGGUGGGGUAACGGCCCACCAAGGCGACGAUGCAUAGCCGACCUGAGAGGGUGAUCGGCCACACUGGGACUGAGACACGGCCCAGACUCCUACGGGAGGCAGCAGUAGGGAAUCUUCCACAAUGGACGAAAGUCUGAUGGAGCAACGCCGCGUGAGUGAUGAAGGUUUUCGGAUCGUAAAACUCUGUUGUAAGGGAAGAACACGUACGAGAGGUAAUGCUCGUACCUUGACGGUACCUUACGAGAAAGCCACGGCUAACUACGUGCCAGCAGCCGCCGUAA
Molecule: ribosomal RNA, 524 nt
Filed under: uncultured bacterium
Lineage: Bacteria
Description: partial 16S ribosomal RNA
Rfam family: Bacterial small subunit ribosomal RNA
Source: RNAcentral